Long non-coding RNA from Cololabis saira (Pacific saury), 853 nucleotides. RefSeq lists it as uncharacterized. The record is from RefSeq and is a predicted model, not a curated record. The transcript is spliced from 4 exons. NCBI's taxonomy places the organism in Eukaryota, Metazoa, Chordata, Actinopteri, Beloniformes, Belonidae.
GCAGCAGCCUGACGGAGAUCCUGAGCUUAAAUCCCGGGACGAAGAAGAAGCAGCCUCCUUUCCUCUGUUCUGACCUCUGUUGAAACUCUGCAAUAAUGGCUCCUCCCGUGGCUGUGUCGCCUCUCAUUAAGACAGCCAGGUAUUCUGCCCUGCUGGUCGGUAUCCUCUACGGUAAAAGCCGAUAUGAACACCUGAAGCCGAUCGCAGCCGAGGAAAGGAGGAUCGAGGAGGAGGAGAAGAAGAUCCGUGAGGAGCAGGAGCGCAUCGCAAAGCAGAUCGCAGAAGCGAGUGAAGACACCAUUCUGAAGUAAAACCCUGGCGUUUUCUACCAGCGUCCAUGUGUCAUUUUCUACCCUCUUCCUCCUUUUUGUGGAGUAACAUCAUCACAGCUCGCUAUUAGACACCGCAGCAGUUUUGCCAAACAGUGAUUUGUAUUAGUGAAAUGAAUUACAGCUCUUCAACUUAGCAUUGUAACUGCCAUUGCAGCUAAGUAAGUUGAUAUUUGUAAAUGUCAUAAAUACAGACUGCUUGUAAAUGUCAUAAAUACGUCACUUUAUCUUUGCUUUUACGUACCAACAUGACAUUUCUUUGUACUUUCUGUUCUCUCUCGGCCAGUUACAGUACUCAGCUUUGACAUGUUUGGUAGAACAGAUGUCUAUUUUUCUUUUCUGCCCUUAAAUGUAGAGAAUAAAUGAAACGCAGGCGUGUUUAAUUUGGAAAUCACAGAUUGUGGCCACAAUUUCCUGUUAUUUUAGCAACACCUUUUUGGAUCUCUGCUGCUCUUUAGCAACACCUGUAAGGAUUCUUGUUCCCCUCAGUCAUUAAAUAAUUAAAAACAAUGUUACAAAACUCA